GGAGUGUUCCUAUAGUAGUUUCUGUACAGAAGAGUCUUUUUGUUGUUGGAAAAUUUGAGCACCAAGUUAGCAGCAUUACAAGAAGGUGAAGCGGAUAAGUUUCUGUAGCUGGAAGCAGCAUUACAAGAAGGUGAAGCGGAUAACUUUCUGUAGCGAGAAGCAGCAUUAUAUUGGUGAGAUGAAAAUCGAAGGGAUGAACAUAAUGAACAUGCCAGCUCCAUUCCCCCAGAUGCCUAAACAGUUGGGGGUGAGAAUGGGAUUACUCUGGUCUUCACUCUUC
RNAcentral lists this long non-coding RNA (280 nucleotides) under Capsicum annuum. Its description in RNAcentral is "long non-coding RNA (CANN_LNC005002)". Lineage: Eukaryota; Viridiplantae; Streptophyta; Magnoliopsida; Solanales; Solanaceae. The record is from RNAcentral.